Long non-coding RNA from Harpia harpyja (harpy eagle), 858 nucleotides. RefSeq lists it as uncharacterized. The transcript is spliced from 2 exons. The record is from RefSeq and is a predicted model, not a curated record. Lineage: Eukaryota; Metazoa; Chordata; Aves; Accipitriformes; Accipitridae.
GUGAACCCCUGUGGCAAAACACCCUCCCCACCACCCGCGCUGGGCUCCAGGGAGAGGGACAAGCCAGCCCAGCUCCAGGGCAGUGGGUCAGCAGGGUCCCAUUUUGUAGGGGAACUCCGUGAAGGUCAAGAUGUCACCUAGUGAAGAUGUUUUUGUUUUUUAAUCUGCGUUAAAAAAAAACCCCAAACUAGGAAACUGCAGCCAAAAAAUGAAGUCAACGAUGUGCUUUGCCACCUGCAGGGUGCUCCAGGGUGGUCUGAGUCUGAACUUCAGCUCUCCAGGGGGGCUCAGCCAGCAGCUGCCGGGAAGCACUGGGGGGACCAGCAGGCACCCACCGCAGCGGUUCACCCCACUGGAAGCCCCGGUCCCAAACUACAUCGUGCGACCGAGAGUUAAUUUUGAUUCUCUGUGCCUCAGUUGCCAGCAGCCUUUGGACUUUCCCUGCUCCAUCAGCCCCUCCCAGAUGGCAAGAGCAGCUCCUCAGCUGCCGACUGCGUUGUCUUCUCCAUCUGGCAGUGGGCAGUGGCUUCUGCACCGGUGGCAUGGCAUUGAGCCGAGAUGCUGCUGAAGGUCACACCUUGAAUGCCUGCCAGCCAGGCUAUGAGAAGGUGGGCCCCUUCUCCUUGAAGCCGUUUUCCAUCCGUUCCCAAGCACCAGCUGUAGGAAAUGAUGUUUUCUGUUGUGCAGGGGCUCUGUGGUCCUGAAACGGGGCCAGGAGAUGCUGCAGCUUCCUGCUGCACCCUGCCUGGGCAUCCCCACUGGAGCAGUAAUUUUGUCUCCUAUUUCUAGGCAAAGUUAAAAUUGAAACGAAGCCACAGGAAAUGAGCAAACCAAAUACAAAUGUUUUCAAAAGUGGAA